This 395-nucleotide ribosomal RNA is filed under the name Allobates femoralis (brilliant-thighed poison frog). RNAcentral's name for it is "partial 12S ribosomal RNA". It matches the Rfam family "Bacterial large subunit ribosomal RNA", at positions 1834 to 2422 of the family's 2925-position model. The record is from RNAcentral. Lineage: Eukaryota; Metazoa; Chordata; Amphibia; Anura; Aromobatidae.
CUUGAUCAAUUAUAAGAGGUCAAGCCUGCCCAGUGACAUUGUUCAACGGCCGCGGUAUCCUAACCGUGCGAAGGUAGCGUAAUCACUUGUCCUUUAAAUAAGGACUAGUAUGAACGGCUUCACGAAGGCUAUACUGUCUCCUUAAUCUAAUCAAUUAAACUAAUCUCCCCGUGAAGAAGCGGGGAUUCGUCUAUAAGACGAGAAGACCCUAUGGAGCUUUAAACAUCUAAGACACUUGAUUUUACCCACUAAACUUCAUGUAACCUAUCAUUUUGUCUUAAGUUUUAGGUUGGGGUGACCACGGAGAAAAAUUAAACCUCCACGUAGAAAGAAAAUUCUUUUCUAAGCAAAGAGCCACAUCUUAACGCAUCAACAUAUUGACUUAAAUUGACCCA